This 254-nucleotide ribosomal RNA is filed under the name uncultured bacterium. RNAcentral describes it as "partial 16S ribosomal RNA". It matches the Rfam family "Bacterial small subunit ribosomal RNA", at positions 524 to 776 of the family's 1533-position model. The record is from RNAcentral.
UACAGAGGGUGCAAGCGUUGUUCGGAAUUAUUGGGCGUAAAGCGCGUGUAGGCGGCUUGGCAAGUCGGGUGUGAAAGCCCUCAGCUCAACUGAGGAAGUGCGCCCGAAACUGCUUUGCUUGAGUGCUGGAGAGGGUCGCGGAAUUCCCCAAGUAGAGGUGAAAUUCGUAGAUAUGGGGAGGAACACCGGUGGCGAAGGCGGCUCACUGGCCCGAUACUGACGCUGGAGACACGAAAGCGUGGGUAGCAAACAGG